CAGUAGCCGCGGUAAUACGAAGGGGGCUAGCGUUGUUCGGAAUUACUGGGCGUAAAGCGCACGUAGGCGGAUAUUUAAGUCAGGGGUGAAAUCCCGCAGCUCAACUGCGGAACUGCCUUUGAUACUGGGUAUCUUGAGUAUGGAAGAGGUUAGUGGAAUUGCGAGUGUAGAGGUGAAAUUCGUAGAUAUUCGCAGGAACACCAGUGGCGAAGGCGGCUAACUGGUCCAUAACUGACGCUGAGGUGCGAAAGCGUGGGGAGCAAACAGGAUUAGAUACCCGCGUAGUCCCUGUCUCUUAUAC
RNAcentral lists this ribosomal RNA (301 nucleotides) under uncultured bacterium. Its description in RNAcentral is "partial 16S ribosomal RNA". It matches the Rfam family "Bacterial small subunit ribosomal RNA", at positions 509 to 807 of the family's 1533-position model. The record is from RNAcentral.